CCUACGGUGAGCAGCAGUGGGGGAUAUUGCACAAUGGGGGAAACCCUGAUGCAGCGACGCCGCGUGUGGGAAGACGGUCCUCUGGAUUGUAAACCACUGUCCCCAGGGACGAAGAUGACGGUACCUGGGGAGGAAGCUCCGGCUAACUACGUGCCAGCAGCCGCGGUAAUACGUAGGGAGCGAGCGUUGUCCGGAAUUACUGGGUGUAAAGGGAGCGUAGGCGGGACUGCAAGUUGGGUGUCAAAUCUACCGGCUCAACCGGUAGCCGCACUCAAAACUGCAGUUCUUGAGUGAAGUAGAGGCAGGCGGAAUUCCUAGUGUAGCGGUGAAAUGCGUAGAUAUUAGGAGGAACACCAGUGGCGAAGGCGGCCUGCUGGGCAUUUACUGACGCUGAGGCUCGAAAGUGUGGGGAGCAAACAGGAUUAGAUACCCUAGUAGUC
Molecule: ribosomal RNA, 440 nt
Filed under: uncultured bacterium
Lineage: Bacteria
Description: partial 16S ribosomal RNA
Rfam family: Bacterial small subunit ribosomal RNA
Source: RNAcentral